RNAcentral lists this long non-coding RNA (834 nucleotides) under Setaria italica (foxtail millet). Its description in RNAcentral is "long non-coding RNA (SITA_LNC005705)". Lineage: Eukaryota; Viridiplantae; Streptophyta; Magnoliopsida; Poales; Poaceae. The record is from RNAcentral.
UUUUUGCAGCUACUCAAGGUCUAUUUGACCGGCUACUUCCUUGGCAACAGGAGCCAUCUCCUCUAGAUAUUGCUGGAACUGCUCGUCAGAACAAUUCUUGGUGAUGCCUUCUGCCACAGGAGCCAAGUUGACUUGCGGGUAGAAAGACCUCACCAUCGCCAGCAACUGCUCGGAGACUGACUCUGCCAUCUUAUGGACAUAGCCGGUGAUCUUGCUAGGUACUUCCUUGAGUAUUUCCGCCAAGGGGCGGGGCUCUACACCUUCUUCGAGGGGCUCCACCAUGUCAGUGAUGGGCUAAGCGGCUUCAAAUAGCUCCUUUAGAGCAAGUUUGGUCGCCUCCAACUUAGCCUCCUGCGCUUGGAGUUUCAUCAUCAGAUCUACCAGUUCGACUUCUCCAUCAACACGCAGCUUCUUCUCCUUCUCGAGCUUGUGCUCCAGGGUCUCGUACUUGGAGGUCAGCUUAUCAUAUUCAUCAGUGACUUGAUAGUACGAGUUCUGCCAGUCCAUGCCACGACUCUGGAGAUUUUUAUUCUCCUUGGUGAGCUCUACAAGAACAAAGGCAAAGAACAAGUCAUUACCGCCAAAGGCAAACAAGUACUCAAGACACAACGGAGGAUAACAGCCUACCUUCAUUUCAGUUCCUCAGGCCUCUGUUAAGUUUCCGGAGUCGGUCCUUUUUUUCAUCAGCUUUCUACACAAGGUUUUGGUACUCGACGGCCUGGGGCCGUCAUACUUCAUCAGUAGCUGGGAGGAAUAUUGCCACUCCUCAGCUAGUUUCUGCUCCAGUGCCUCAGCCCGCAGAAUGGUGUCCCCAUAACCUUGGAUAUAUUUCAA